GUUAGUGUGACUCUAUUAGUCGAUAUGGCAUGUUGUUCUGCUGCGGGCGAAGGUCUUUUAGGCCUGUUAUCUUUUUGUUAUACCUUUUUUUGGAAGGGAUGCAUAAGUAAAGGGCAAAUUAUAAGUGCAAAUUCUCAAUUUUCUGUUUUCUGUGCGCCGACUUAUAUCGUUCGUUUUGGGGAUAAUCAACUGAUUUGUAAAAAAAAUCGACUUCUGCAGAUCGAGCAGAUAGGGCAAAUUGGUUGCUAAAUUCAUGUCGGUUCUCAAAUCAAAAUUUCUUAGUGCUCUGUCGAUUUUGAAGUCUUUCACGAAGCCCAAAAGCUGAAUUUGCCAUGGACAAGGAGACGUUCAAUAACAUUGGUAGCUACCAUGGAUAAAUGUACCUUAAAGAAAAUAGAAUUGUAAUUUUGAACAAAAUGGCAAAGGUUAGAUGAACCUUGUUGCCAAUCUGCGUCGAUUCUCAACUCAACAUUUUAAAGGUCUUACGAAACCUCAAAGACUCCCCUUGGUCAGCACCUCCUAAUAAAACAUGUUCAUGUUGAAUACUGCGGUCCAACUAACAGAGUGUUAAAUUGUGAGUGAGUCGAGCGGACGAAAAAACCGGCGCCCAGAAAAUAAGCAAGCGAUCGAAAGACGAGUGAGAACGAUGCGCCACAUUACUUAGCAUGCACACACCCACACAAACACGUGUAUGCGCAGAGAUGAGCCAAGGCCAGAGAUAAGCAGUCACCUGUUCGUGUGUGUGUUCGCUGUCAUUUUGCUCAAGCGCUCACGAUUCAAUUUGGUGCUGAUCGCUGAUUGGUCCACACAUUAGCUGCCGGCAGUGAUGUUCUCGCCUGGUCGAUCGGGUGCUCUUCUUUCUGAGCGCCGUUUUUAUGGAUCAGCUCAACUUUAUUCUAUGUUAGUGUGACUCUAUAAGUCGAUAUGGCAUGUUGUUCUGCUGCGGGCGAAGGUCUUUUAAGCCUGUUAUCUUUUUGUUAUACCUUUUUUUGGAUGUGAUGCAUAAGUAAAGGGCAAAUUAUAAGUGCAAAUUCUCAAAAGACGUUCAAUAACAUUGGUAGCUACCAUGGAUAAAUGUACCUUAAAUAAAAUCGAAUUUAAAUUUUGACCAAAAUGGCUAAGGUUCAUGAACCUUGUUGCCAAUCUACGUCGUUUUUCACCUGAACAUUUUAAAGGACUUACGAAUCCUUUAAGCUUAACCUGUCAACGUUUAUGGACAACAUAUAAUCAACAAAUAAGAUCGGCGGAAAUAUGUCUCUUUGGCAUAAUAAAUAUAGUAUUUCAUAUAAAUAUAUAAUAUCAGACGACAUUUACCAGAGAAAAAACGUGCUUUGUGUCGAUUUGGGUCAAAAUGCCAAUUGAUAGUACGGAUCCAAAAAUGAUUCCCCCGGGUCAGCAGCUCCUAAUAAAAUAUAUUCAUAUUGAAUAAUGCAGUCCAACUAACAGAGUGUUAAAUUGCGAGUGAGUCAAGCGGACGAAAAAACCGGCGCCCAGAAAAUAAGCAAGCGAUCGAAAGACGAGUGAGAACGAUGCGCCACAUUACUUAGCAUGCACACACCCACACAAACACGUGUAUGCGCAGAGAUGAGCCAAGGCCAGAGAUAAGCAGCCACCUGUUCGUGUGUGUGUUCGCUGUCAUUUUGCUCACGCGCUCACGAUUCAAUUUGGUGCUGAUCGCUGAUUGGUCCACACAAUAGCUGCCGGCAGCGAUGUUCUCGCCGAGUCGAUUGAGUGCUCUUUUUUCUGAGCGCCGUUUUUAUGGAUCAGCUCAACUUAACAUAUGUUUGGGUGUGUGUUUUCGCAAUUCAUAUCAAUGCUUGCUUGUGCGUUAUCUACCUUUGAACGGCGAUUACUCCAGUUUGUGGAUUACUUGCUCAGUUUUCUGUUCUCCGACUUACGAAUCUUUAAUGCCUAACCGGCCAACGUUCAUGGACAACGUAUAAUCAACAAAUAAUAAGAUCGGUGGAAAUAUAUCUCUUUAAAAUAAUAAACGUAAUAUUUCCGCGCGGAAAUAUGUCGGAUUUGGAACGUCGGAGCUGCGCGAGAUAUGAAAUAAUUAAUUUUAUAUGCUAUAGCCAACUUUGCCACGCUCAUGGACAACAUUUCAUCAGAAAAUGAUCGCUUUUCAUGGUACCUAGUUGACCUGUAUAUCCUUUUUAAUUUCAUAUCAUGGAUAUAGUCCUAGCGAACCUAAAGGACAACGUUCUUGCAAAAUGCGUAGGAACUAGGUCCAAAAUAUGUAUGCUUUUCUUUAACAGCCGUCCCCAGCAACAGUACCGCCCCCUUGAUGGUUUCUAGUUGACUAGCAUAUCCUUGGUAAUACCAUACCAUGGAUAUAGUCCUAGCGAACCUAAAGGAUCAGAUCCCUGCAAAAUGUGCAUUGAAAUGGUCCAAAAACAUGUAUGCUUUUUCUUUCAGGAGCCCUUUUACAUUAGCUGCAGCUGCAGCUGUUGCUUAACAGCCGGCUUACAGCACUCUCGCAGCUUAACAGAGCUCAUUUAAAUUGAGUUACAUUUUUGCCCCUUAAUGCUAUGCAAUGAAAAUUUUUAUUCAAAGAACUCGUCGACCUUCUGGGCAUUUCUGUUCGCCUGGUAUUUUGGCAGAUUUUAAGAAAAGCGGUUGCCAACCAACGCC
Drosophila virilis is the source of this 2634-nucleotide long non-coding RNA. RefSeq lists it as uncharacterized. NCBI's taxonomy places the organism in Eukaryota, Metazoa, Arthropoda, Insecta, Diptera, Drosophilidae. The record is from RefSeq and is a predicted model, not a curated record.